GGCCGAAGUAGGCGGCCUGGAGCCGGCGCCGUCCCAGGUGGGGCAGGGCGAUCCGGUCGAUGUCGGCGAGUUCGAGCUCCGCCUCGGCCA
Molecule: transfer RNA, 90 nt
Filed under: Streptomyces griseorubens
Lineage: Bacteria; Bacillati; Actinomycetota; Actinomycetes; Kitasatosporales; Streptomycetaceae
Description: tRNA-Trp
Source: RNAcentral